UGAGAACCGAAGUAGCUUCUAGGCCAGGUACCCAAAAGUUGCAGAGCCUGUCUAUGGUUAAUGCUCAACGCUAUCCCCUCUUUCCUACAACAGAGUCUGGGAUAAAACUUCCAAAGCCCACUGAUAGAUUUCCCUCCAAUUUAGGGUGGCUGAUAUAUAUAUAUGCUACCUUCUUCCCAACAUGCCCCUACUCCCACCAAAAGAGUAACCUAAUACUUGCUCUCCUCCUAACAGCUGGUGACAUCACAGGCCCCUCCAGUCCCUAGCCACGACCUCACUCAACCUCACCCCAGCUCCUACAAGGCCCACCCCAGCUCCUAUAAGAAGCACUCCCUGUCCUCGCCAUAUUGCUUUUGUCUCUCCUUUGUUCAGAGACAGCCCAACAGAUCAUCCCUGCAAUAAAGGCUUGUUGUGGCCUGGUCUGGUCUUGGUUUUCGGCUUCCUUUUUACCUGACAUCCACCUGUUGCUGCUGUUAGAGAAUUCUGGGCAAGAUGGUCUGCAAGUAGCCUAAAUGGCUCACUUCUUAUUUGUUACUAGAAACUCAAAUGGUAAAGAGCAUUUCAAUCUGUUUUUACUGCAUAAAAAAAUAGUGCUUUUUUCAAUGUCCUUAUAAUGGCUCUUGGAUGAAGUUGUGACCCUCUGUUGGUGAUUAAGCAUGCUGUGCUUCUCUUUAUGUAAAUGCCAUUGGAAUUCCCCUUCUCCCUACCACCAUCAGGGUAUGGAAUGCGGAGGGGCAAGAGUAAUGGUUCUCAAACAUGUUUUAAAUGGAUAACUGUCAAAAAGUUUUAGUUAUGUAUCACAUAUGUAUACAUAUAUAUAUACAUAUAAUGUGUGUGUAUAUAUAUGCAUUUUAUGCAGAUAAAUAUAGAUGUCACUCUCAUUUUAGACAUUAGUAAUUGUGAUGGUUUGUGUUUAGAUGUCCCCCUGAAGCCUCAUGUGGUCUUAGGUGGGGCUUUUUCAGAGUUGGCUGAAUCCAGAGUGUGUGAUUGAUUCUUGGUGAUUCUUACUAGGCCCAAGGGCACUAGGAUUAAGGGUUUGAGUGCUACCCACCCUAAGUAGUUUGAAUAAGUUAAAAGGGGCAGGAGAAGCUGUUAAGGUCCUUUAUUGUUUUUGCUGUCUUCUACCAGCAUGAACUGUUGCCCCUUGUUGCUUUUGUUGCCUUGUGGGCACCAUGAACAGUUUCUCCUCUAUGAUGCCUCUCUGCGGUGUACCACUCUGCCUUGGAGCCAGACAAUUAUGGACUGAAACCUCUAUAAACUAUGAGAUAAAUAAACCCUCUCCCCUUUAACUUUCAGUGUUGAGUAUUUUGUCUUAGCAACAAGAGGAAAGUAACUAACACAGUAAUGGUCAAUUUUUCUCUUAUUGUUUUCAGUUAAUUAAGCCAGAUACAGUGCCACAAUCCUGUAAUCCCAGCGACUUGGGAGUCUGAGGUUCAGUUUCUAGCACUGAAAAAAACCCAGACUGACCUGUCUUAUAAGGCUUCCAGAAGAUUCAUCCCUGUAGAAGCACAGUUGUGCAGAUGGACACUGGGACUGGAACCAAACUCAGAGUUCAAGCUGUUAUAGGGCCAGGUGAGUCAGAACUAUAGAGAUGUGCCACACUCUGAAUUGAAUGGAGUCCUUUAUUAUAAGCUAGCUGAUUGAGAAUGUCU
RNAcentral lists this long non-coding RNA (1652 nucleotides) under Heterocephalus glaber (naked mole-rat). RNAcentral describes it as "lncRNA (ENSHGLG00100037144.1)". The record is from RNAcentral. Lineage: Eukaryota; Metazoa; Chordata; Mammalia; Rodentia; Bathyergidae.